CCUACGGGGGACUGCAGUCGAGAAUCAUUCACAAUGGGGGAAACCCUGAUGGUGCGACGCCGCGUGGGGGAAUGAAGGUCUUCGGAUUGUAAACCCCUGUCAUGUGGGAGCAAAUUAACAAGAUAGUACCACAAGAGGAAGAGACGGCUAACUCUGUGCCAGCAGCCGCGGUAAUACAGAGGUCUCAAGCGUUGUUCGGAAACACUGGGCGUAAGGCGUGCGUAGGCUGUUUCGUAAGUCGUGUGUGAAAGGCGCGGGCUCAACCCGCGGACGGCACAUGAUACUGCGAGACUAGAGUAAUGGAGGGGGAACCGGAAUUCUCGGUGUAGCAGUGAAAUGCGUAGAUAUCGAGAGGAACACUCGUGGCGAAGGCGGGUUCCUGGACAUUAACUGACGCUGAGGCACGAAGGCCAGGGGAGCGAAAGGGAUUAGAUACCCUUGUAGUC
This 446-nucleotide ribosomal RNA is filed under the name uncultured bacterium. RNAcentral's name for it is "partial 16S ribosomal RNA". It matches the Rfam family "Bacterial small subunit ribosomal RNA", at positions 338 to 795 of the family's 1533-position model. The record is from RNAcentral.